CGCCAAGCACAGCCACCGAGCUAGCAAGGGCGGCAGGCGCGGUGAGCAAUCUCAGGUGGUGGCGGCGGCGGUGACAGCAGCAGCAGCAGCAGAGACUGCAGCGGCUAGCGCACACCUUCUCCCCAGUGCGCCCGCAACCUUCCUUCACUGCGCUCCGGGAGCCACCAGAGGUCCCUGGUCACCCGGCCCCCGCGUGCGCGGCCGAGCCUCCCGCACAAUAGCAGCCACCUCUACUGUGGUUCCGAGCCCAGGCGUCAGCCAUGGGGAAACCGGCGAGGAAAGGAUGCGACUGGAAGCGUUUCCUGAGGAAUAAUUGGCUGCUGCUCUCCACCGUGGCCUCAGUGGUGCUAGGCCCCUCCCCUUGGCCUUCAUGACUAGAAGACAUUGCCAUCACAAAGGCAGCCCUUCUUCUACGCAAGGAGAGCAAAUGUGGUUGCUGGAGGAGGUACCCAGAAUAUCAAUGACACCUUCUCUCGCUUCUAAUUUAGUACUCUUCUAAUUGGAACUGACAGAAAAUCUAGGUUGAACAGGCUUAAGCCAGAAAGGUAGGGGAGUGAGGCCUAGAAUUUAUGGCUUAGAUAAUGUAAGAGCUCAGAAAUAGUAACUGGUUUCGGGGGAUCAAAGAAUAUGAUCCUGUCCUUCUCUCUCUUUACAUAGAGUCUGUGCACUUUUGUGUUGUUUUCACUCUCAGGUAAGACACGCCCAUUGACGGCAAGGUAGCUGCCAGCACAGCUGAAGGUUUCCAUUUCCCUGCUUCACACCCAGCAGAAAAGAGAACGUUUCUAUCAAUUCCAGCAAGACUUUGGGGCUUUCGCCUGAAUUUCACUCAGUCCUAAUUGGGUCAUAUGACCAUUCCAUAAUAAAUCUUGGAACUAAGGGAACAUGAUUGUCUAAUAGGUCACUCUUUCUUCCCACAUUCUUCCCCCAACUUCUGAACUAGCUCCACCUGUAACAGCUUGAGAGUUGGGAGGUAUGUUAUUAACAGGAGGGACAAUGAAUAUUGAGUGGCGGUUACACCACAUGUUUGCCUUUUCUCAUGCUCCUGAGCUCUUUCCCGAAUGUACUCAGUAUAUACUCAUAGCUAAGUUUUAUUGUAUUCAUAACAGUACAGAAACACUUGAAGUUAUUUAGAUAAUAGCCAUGUAUUUUGAAAAUAAUUAAGUUUAGAUAGAAAUUACUUAAAUCUGAGAGAGGGGAAAGAAGAUUAAGCAAGGACCACAACUGAAUUUUUGCUUUAAACUCUUAAAAAUUCUAAAAAACAAGAAAAAAAAACUUCCCCCAAACCCAAUGUACUGCUAGUAUCAUAUUUAGUGAUGAAAGUCUGAAUACUUUCCCCUUAAAAUCAGGAGUAACACAAGGAUGUCCACUUUUACCACUACUAUUCAGUAUCUCACUGGAAGCCUAAGCCAGUGCAAUACAGCAAGAAAGAGAAACAGACUGGAGAGAAAUAAAACUUAACCUAUGUACAGAUGGCAUGAUGUUCUACAUAGGAAAUCCCAGUGAAUCUACAGAAUAACUCCUAAAACUAGUCAGUGAUUUAGCAAGGGUCCAAGUUACAAGAUUAAUAUUUUAAAAAAGCAUUUGUUAUUUCUAUACGCUAACAAUGCAAAACAAGAAAUGGAUAUGUUGAAAUGUUAUUUACAAUAUCUCCAAAAAGUAAAAGAUUGGGUAUAUAUCUAACAAAAUGUAUGAAUAGGACCUAUAAUUGAAAAUCACAGAACACUGGUGAAAGAAAUUGCACACUUAAGUAAACAAAUGUACCUGUUCAUAGAUAGGAAGAUACAUCAUAAUGAUGAUGUCAGUUCUUCUCAAAUUGGCUUAUAGAUUUGAUGCAAUUCUGGUCAAAAUCCCAGAAGUAUUUUUUGUAGAUAUAUCAGACAAGGUGAUUCUAAACUUUAUGUGGAAAGGCGAAGGAAUAACCUAAAACAGCUUUGAAAAAGAGGAAGAAAGUUUGAAGAAUCAUACUGCUCUAAAGCAAUAAAUAAGACAUUGUAGUAUUGGUGAAGGGAUAGACAUGUAGAUCAAUAAAAUAGAAUAGACGUUCCAAAAACGGACCCACACAAAUAUGCCCAAUUGAUUUUUGACAAAGAUCCAAAAGCUACUCAAAGGAGAAAGAAUAGUCUUUUUAGAAAAUGGUAUUGGAAUAACUGGACAUUCCUGUGCAAAAAAAAGAAGAACCUUUACCUAAACAUCAUGUUUUAUACAAAAUUAACUCAAAAUGGAUCAUAGUUCUUAAAGAAGAGUAAAAUACAGAAUUUUCAGAAUCUUUGUGACCUACAGUUAGGCAAAGAAUUCUUAGACAGUACAACAAAAUGCAAUUCAUAAAAGUAAAAAAUUGAUAAAUUAGACUUUAUUAAAAAAAAUAACCUUUGUCUUCUGUUAAGAGAAUGAACACAACAAAUCAUAAAUUGUAUACCUAAAAUAUAUGCAUUUUUAAAUGCUCAGUUAUAUUUCAAUAAAGUGGGUAGAGGAAAAGAGACCGAACAGUCUCAGUCUAGGAAAAAAAUAAUUGCAGAUCACAUAUCCAACAUAUCUGAGCUUGUAUCCAGAACAUAUAAAGAACUUUCAAAUUUUCAAAGCUCAACAGUAGGAAAACAAAUAAUCCAACUUUAAAAACAGACACUUCACCAAAGAGCCUGUUAAGUAAACAUAUAAAAAGAUGUUCAUCACUAUUAGCCAUUAGGGAAAUGUAAAUUAAAACAAGUGCUGAUGAAGAUGCUGAGCAACUGAACCUCUUAAACAUUGUUGGUGGGAGUGUAAAAUGGUAUGGCCACUCUGAAAAACAGUUUAGCAGUUUCUUACAAGUUAAAUAGAUACUUACCAUAUGACCUAGGAGUCCCCCUCCUAGGUGUAUACCCUAGAAAGAGAAAAACUUAUGUUCACACCAAAACUUGUACACAAAUGUUUAUAGCAGCUCUAUUCAUAAUUACCCCAAACAGGAAGCAACCCAGACAUCCUUCAGUGAAUGAAAAAAUAAUACUGUCCACCUAUAAAAUGUGAUCCAUUCAGCAAGAAAAAGGAACGUAUUAUUGGUAUGCACAAAACUUCAAUGAAUCUCAAAAGUGUUUUUUGGAUUUUUUUCCCCAGGCUAGGGGUCUAAUCGGAGCUGCAGCCGCUGGC
This 3120-nucleotide long non-coding RNA is filed under the name Sus scrofa (pig). RNAcentral's name for it is "lncRNA (ENSSSCG00050055595.1)". Lineage: Eukaryota; Metazoa; Chordata; Mammalia; Artiodactyla; Suidae. The record is from RNAcentral.